Molecule: transfer RNA, 77 nt
Filed under: Fusobacterium perfoetens
Lineage: Bacteria; Fusobacteriati; Fusobacteriota; Fusobacteriia; Fusobacteriales; Fusobacteriaceae
Also listed under: 3 other names
Description: tRNA-Asp
Rfam family: tRNA
About the family: Transfer RNA (tRNA) molecules are approximately 80 nucleotides in length. Their secondary structure includes four short double-helical elements and three loops (D, anti-codon, and T loops).
Source: RNAcentral
GGGGGUGUAGCUCAGUUGGUUAGAGCGCCUGCCUGUCACGUAGGAGGUCGCGAGUUCGAAUCUCGUCACUCCCGCCA